AUACUCACCUGGCAGGGGAGAUACCAUGAUCACAAAGGUGGUUUUCCCAGGGCUAGACUUAUCUAUUGCACUUCGGAUGUGCUAACCCCUGCGAUUUCCCUGAAUGUAGCACCGCAUAAUCUGUGGUAGUGGGGGACUGCCUUUAGUGCUUUCCUCUG
Molecule: small nuclear RNA, 158 nt
Filed under: Catagonus wagneri (Chacoan peccary)
Lineage: Eukaryota; Metazoa; Chordata; Mammalia; Artiodactyla; Tayassuidae
Description: U1 spliceosomal RNA (ENSCWAG00000003439.1)
Rfam family: U1 spliceosomal RNA
About the family: U1 is a small nuclear RNA (snRNA) component of the spliceosome (involved in pre-mRNA splicing). Its 5' end forms complementary base pairs with the 5' splice junction, thus defining the 5' donor site of an intron.
Source: Rfam by way of RNAcentral